GACGAACGCUGGCGGCGCGCCUAACACAUGCAAGUCGAACGAGCGAGAGAGAGCUUGCUUUCUCGAGCGAGUGGCGAACGGGUGAGUAACGCGUGAGGAACCUGCCUCAAAGAGGGGGGCAACAGUUGGAAACGACUGCUAAUACCGCAUAAGCCCACGGCUCGGCAUCGAGCAGAGGGAAAAGGAGCAAUCCGCUUUGAGAUGGCCUCGCGUCCGAUUAGCUGGUUGGUGAGGUAACGGCCCACCAAGGCGACGAUCGGUAGCCGGACUGAGAGGUUGAACGGCCACAUUGGGACUGAGACACGGCCCAGACUCCUACGGGAGGCAGCAGUGGGGAAUAUUGCGCAAUGGGGGAAACCCUGACGCAGCAACGCCGCGUGAUCGAAGAAGGUCUUCGGAUUGUAAAGAUCUUUUAUCAGGGACGAAGAAAGUGACGGUACCUGGAUGAAUAAGCUCCGGGCUAAACUAC
Molecule: ribosomal RNA, 469 nt
Filed under: uncultured bacterium
Lineage: Bacteria
Description: bacterial SSU rRNA
Rfam family: Bacterial small subunit ribosomal RNA
Source: RNAcentral